RNAcentral lists this unclassified non-coding RNA (369 nucleotides) under Hevea brasiliensis (rubber tree). The record is from RNAcentral. Lineage: Eukaryota; Viridiplantae; Streptophyta; Magnoliopsida; Malpighiales; Euphorbiaceae.
GAAGAGAAAGAAAACCAUAAAUUCAUCACUAAAAUGGAGGAUUAACAUAUACAAAUUUAAAGAUUUUUUUUUUUCUUCCUUUUCUUCCUCUUUCCAGCCCUCUCAAGUUUUCUCAGCAACAUUUCCUUUUUAUAGGGAAAUAUUACUUUCUUUUCUCAACUAAUGCCAUGCUUAGGUAUGGCUUAUUUCUUUACUUGUCCACAUAGAGUUUUACCUACUAAAUCUCAUCAACUCCAACAGGAAGCCAUGAUAGAGAGGUCCAUAAGAGCUCUGCUCCCCAAUUCUACAUUGAUGCUUCUCUCUGCAGAAAUAGAAUCAUCUAUCUGUUUCACCAAGUUGUCACCCGUGUGCAAGUCUAUUCGCCCAUCC